UAACCACAGCUUCUCAUCGUCUCAGAGCCCCGCCCUCUAUCUCACUGUCGGAGACUUGGUGACAAAUCUGAUCAUCAGGGUGGUGCUGGUCCACUUCCUCCUGAUCAUGGGGACCAUCUCCCUCUACUUCUACUGUCGGGCCAGUAGGGGGCGCUGCAGACUGAAGGCACGCAACACAGGAUGAGAUACAGCAGCACAGCAACCACCACAGCAACAGCAACCACCACAGCAACAUCCACGUCCACAGUCCACGUCUACGUCCAUCCUUCAGAAUAGUUGUGUGUAUGUUGUUUGUGUCCCAGUCCCAGUUCUGGUCCUGGAGUCCUGGUCCGGUCUGAAUGUUCAGUGUGUUUGUGUUUCCGUGGUUCUGGUUCUUCUUGGACUUGGACUCAGACCUGUUCAGUCCUGACUCAAAGGACAGCAGAGGAGCUGUUCAACACUUUGGUUCACGCUCACACAUGAACUCUGCUCUGACAGCAGCUGCAAACACUUGGAAAUCCUUCAUAUGGAUGAAUUCACCACUUUUCCUGGACUGUUCCUU
Molecule: long non-coding RNA, 541 nt
Organism: Sphaeramia orbicularis (orbiculate cardinalfish)
Lineage: Eukaryota; Metazoa; Chordata; Actinopteri; Kurtiformes; Apogonidae
Exons: 3
Source: RefSeq, a predicted model, not a curated record